UACGAAGGGGGCUAGCGUUGUCGCGAUUUACUGGGCGUAAAGCGCACGUAGGCGGUUUGUUAAGUCAGGGGUGAAAUCCCGGAGCUCAACUCCGGAACUGCCUUUGAUACUGGCAAGCUAGAGUCCGGAAGAGGUAAGUGGAACUCCUAGUGUAGAGGUGGAAUUCGUAGAUAUUAGGAAGAACACCAGUGGCGAAGGCGGCUUACUGGUCCGGAACUGACGCUGAGGUGCGAAAGCGUGGGGAGCAAACAGG
This 253-nucleotide ribosomal RNA is filed under the name uncultured bacterium. RNAcentral describes it as "partial 16S ribosomal RNA". It matches the Rfam family "Bacterial small subunit ribosomal RNA", at positions 524 to 776 of the family's 1533-position model. The record is from RNAcentral.